RNAcentral lists this ribosomal RNA (490 nucleotides) under uncultured bacterium. RNAcentral describes it as "partial 16S ribosomal RNA". It matches the Rfam family "Bacterial small subunit ribosomal RNA", at positions 29 to 507 of the family's 1533-position model. The record is from RNAcentral.
AUGAACGCUGGCUACAGGCUUAACACAUGCAAGUCGAGGGGAAACGACGGGGAAGCUUGCUUCCCCGGGCGUCGACCGGCGCACGGGUGAGUAACGCGUAUCCAACCUGCCUCUGACUGAGGGAUAACCCGUCGAAAGUCGGCCUAAUACCUCAUGGCAUCGUCUGCGGGCAUCCAACGACGAUUAAAGAUUUCAUCGGUCAGGGAUGGGGAUGCGUCUGAUUAGCUAGUUGGCGGGGUAACGGCCCACCAAGGCGACGAUCAGUAGGGGUUCUGAGAGGAAGGUCCCCCACAUUGGAACUGAGACACGGUCCAAACUCCUACGGGAGGCAGCAGUGAGGAAUAUUGGUCAAUGGGCGAGAGCCUGAACCAGCCAAGUAGCGUGCAGGAUGACGGCCCUAUGGGUUGUAAACUGCUUUUAUGCGGGGAUAAAGUGAGGGACGUGUCCUUCAUUGCAGGUACCGCAUGAAUAAGGACCGGCUAAUUCCGUG